GACGAACGCUGGCGGCGUGCUUAACACAUGCAAGUCGAACGGAAAGGCCCUGCUUUUGUGGGGUGCUCGAGUGGCGAACGGGUGAGUAACACGUGAGUAACCUGCCCCUGACUUUGGGAUAACCUCUGGAAACUGCGGCUAAUACCGGAUAGGAGAUCCUGCUGCAUGGUGGUGGUUUGAAAGUUUCGGCGGUUGGGGAUGGACUCGCGGCUUAUCAGCUUGUUGGUGGGGUAGUGGCUUACCAAGGCUUUGACGGGUAGCCGGCCUGAGAGGGGGACCGGCCACAUUGGGAAUGAGAGACGGCCCAGAAUCCUACGGGAGGCAGCAGUGGGGAAUAUUGCACAAUGGGCGGAAGCCUGAUGCAGCAACGCCGCGUGCGGGAUGACGGCCUUCGGGUUGUAAACCGCUUUCGCCUGGGAAGAAGCGUGAGUGACGGUAAUGGGUAAAGAAGCACCGGCUAACUACGUG
Molecule: ribosomal RNA, 468 nt
Filed under: uncultured bacterium
Lineage: Bacteria
Description: partial 16S ribosomal RNA
Rfam family: Bacterial small subunit ribosomal RNA
Source: RNAcentral